This 329-nucleotide ribosomal RNA is filed under the name uncultured bacterium. Its description in RNAcentral is "bacterial SSU rRNA". It matches the Rfam family "Bacterial small subunit ribosomal RNA", at positions 570 to 898 of the family's 1533-position model. The record is from RNAcentral.
CGUAGACGGUUUUGUAAGUCAGAUGUGAAAUCCCUGGGCUCAACCUGGGAACUGCAUUUGAUACUGCAUGGCUAGAGUAUGGAAGAGGGAAGUGGAAUUUCCGGUGUAGCGGUGAAAUGCGUAGAUAUCGGAAGGAACACCAGUGGCGAAAGCGACUUCCUGGUCCAAUACUGACGUUCAUGUGCGAAAGCGUGGGGAGCAAACAGGAUUAGAUACCCUGGUAGUCCACGCCAUAAACGAUGACAACUAGAUGUUGGGAGGGUCUGCCUCUCGGUGUCGCAGCUAACGCGUUAAGUUGUCCGCCUGGGGAGUACGGCCGCAAGGUUGAA